UGAGGAAUAUUGCGCAAUGGCCGAAAGGCUGACGCAGCGACGCCGCGUGAAGGAUGAAGUUCGUUAGAAUGUAAACUUCUUUUGUAGGGGAUGAAUGUGCCGUUUUGCGGCAUUGACCGUACCCUGCGAAUAAGGAUCGGCUAACUACGUGCCAGCAGCCGCGGUAAUACGUAGGAUCCGAGCGUUGUCCGGAUUUACUGGGUGUAAAGGGCGUGUAGGUGGGUCUCUAAGUCGGUGGUGAAAGCCCGCAGCUCAACUGCGGAAUUGCCAUUGAUACUGGAGGUCUUGAGUACGGCAGAGGGAAAUAGAAUUCAUGGUGUAGCGGUGAAAUGUGUAGAUAUCAAUGAAGAAUACCGGUAGCGAAGGCGGUUUCCUGGUCCGUAACUGACACUGAGGCGCGAAAGCGUGGGGAGCAAACAGGAUUAGAUACCCCGGUAGUCCCUGAGCGGGCUGGCAAGGCGCAU
RNAcentral lists this ribosomal RNA (464 nucleotides) under uncultured bacterium. RNAcentral describes it as "bacterial SSU rRNA". It matches the Rfam family "Bacterial small subunit ribosomal RNA", at positions 355 to 825 of the family's 1533-position model. The record is from RNAcentral.